GAUGAACGCUAGCGGCAGGCUUAAUACAUGCAAGUCGAACGGCAGCGGGUCCAGCAAUGGAUGCCGGCGAGUGGCUCACGGGUGCGUAACACGUAUGCAACCUACCUUUAACCGGGACAUAACCUCGAGAAAUCGUGGCUAAUAUUCCAUAAUAUCUUUGAAUCGCAUGGUUUGAAGAUCAAAAUUCCGAUGGUUUUAGAUGGGCAUGCGCGACAUUAGCUAGUUGGUGAGGUAAUGGCUCACCAAGGCUGCGAUGUUUAGGGGGUCUGAGAGGAUGAACCCCCACACUGGUACCAAGACACGGACCAGACUCCUACGAGAGGCAGCAGUAAGGAAUAUUGGGCAAUGGGCGCAAGCCUGACCCAGCCAUGCCGCGUGCAGGAUGACAGCCCUACGGGUUGUAAACUGCUUUUAUACGGGAAAAAACCCUCUGACGUGUCAGAGGCUGAUGGUACCGUAAGAAUAAGCAUCGGCUAACUCCGUGCCAGCCGCCGCAGUAA
Molecule: ribosomal RNA, 500 nt
Filed under: uncultured bacterium
Lineage: Bacteria
Description: partial 16S ribosomal RNA
Rfam family: Bacterial small subunit ribosomal RNA
Source: RNAcentral